RNAcentral lists this ribosomal RNA (582 nucleotides) under uncultured bacterium. RNAcentral's name for it is "partial 16S ribosomal RNA". It matches the Rfam family "Bacterial small subunit ribosomal RNA", at positions 355 to 932 of the family's 1533-position model. The record is from RNAcentral.
UGGGGAAUUUUGGACAAUGGGCGAAAGCCUGAUCCAGCAAUGCCGCGUGUGUGAAGAAGGCCUUCGGGUUGUAAAGCACUUUUGUCCGGAAAGAAAUCCUUGGCUCUAAUACAGUCGGGGGAUGACGGUACCGGAAGAAUAAGCACCGGCUAACUACGUGCCAGCAGCCGCGGUAAUACGUAGGGUGCAAGCGUUAAUCGGAAUUACUGGGCGUAAAGCGUGCGCAGGCGGUUUGCUAAGACCGAUGUGAAAUCCCCGGGCUCAACCUGGGAACUGCAUUGGUGACUGGCAGGCUAGAGUAUGGCAGAGGGGGGUAGAAUUCCACGUGUAGCAGUGAAAUGCGUAGAGAUGUGGAGGAAUACCGAUGGCGAAGGCAGCCCCCUGGGCCAAAUACUGACGCUCAUGCACGAAAGCGUGGGGAGCAAACAGGAUUAGAUACCCUGGUAGUCCACGCCCUAAACGAUGUCAACUAGUUGUUGGGGACUUCAUUUUCCUUAGUAACGUAGCUAACGCGUGAAGUUGACCGCCUGGGGAGUACGGUCGCAAGAUUAAAACUCAAAUGAAUUGACGGGGUCAUAGCUG